GAAAGGAUGAUACGAACUCUUCCCCGUCCUUCCCGACUCCUUCCGUACCGUAACGCCGCCGCUUGCGCCCUAGCCCCUGCCCGCGCCUCCAAUUCCUCUCCCUCUCCCCUCAAAAAAAAAAAAAAAAAAAUUCCUCUCCCUCUCUUCUGACGUGUCAGCGCACCGCCUGCUCCCGAAAGCGGCCACCUCCACACCCUGCGUGCACCGGGGGCGGCGGCCCAGCGGCGCAGACGUCCGGACGGCCCCGGCGGUGGCUGCGUUGCGACAUGGCGUGGCACGACGUGGGAGAGCCCCACCGUUGGCUGCCGGCGCCGUUGACCCCCGGCUCCUUGCCGCGCCAGCUGCGUCGCCGUAUCCGCUCCGUCUGUCGCUACAUCUGUCAGUACGUCGCUCUCUUCUCCUUUUCCCUCAUCUCAUGGCUCCUUCCCAAGAUUCUGUCUCCCUCGCGGAUGCGUGGUGGCCGGUGCCGGUGUCCGGGUCACCGCCGGCAUUGUCACGUAGCAGCAUGACCGGGCCCAGCCGAUUGCUGCCGAUGCGGGUGCCCCUCGGUGUGUCCUGGUCCCGGCCACUAGCCUUCGAUCCACCUUCAAAUCCAGCCAGUACCGACACAGAAAAGAAUCUUCUUUACCUGGAAAGAGUGUGCACUUUCUGUUGGAUUGUUACUUUGUUGGUUGAAUUAAUCACUGCUGCCCCAACGUUUGGUUCACCGGCCUAUGAUUUCUUCUCUUGGACCUAUUCUUUUGGAUGUCUCUGUUCUGAUCUCUACACCUUCCAUUAUAGAUCUGGGUGAUUUACCAAUACAUAAUCAAGCUAUUCAGGGGGUUCAAAAGCCACUAGAGGAUAUCACUGACAGCCCUGAUAUUGCUGCUGCUGAGCCUUCGAUUCAGUUGAAAGAAUACCAUUCUAUUCCAAGUGGCACCAAUUUGAUUUACCAGAAGAAUACAACAUCAUGCCUCUUCUCAAAUGAAGAGCUGCUAUGCCUUUGAAAUACUAGAAGAGUCACAACAUAAAUGAUUGUUUAUUUUGGAUAGUUCUGGAUGGAUAUAAGGCUCUUGUGACUGCUGGGAAACUUAGAGAUCUGGUCAAAUCGAAUUUCUGUGGUGGCAUGGAAAUCCCCGAGGGUGUGAAGAACAGAAGACCUACAACUAUAUCAGCAGCUUGGGAUGACGCUAUUUUCUUAAAGAUUGAUAAGGCUUCUCUCUGUCUAUGAUUAGACAAUAGUCCAUUCAAACAGCGAUUGGCCCGUAAUAUAUCAGUGUUGCGUUCCCUGAAAUAAAUACCCGCGAGUUUGCACAGGCGCGCGGAUGCGCGUGCCCCGGUACUAGUAGUGAUAACAACACAACAACACUUUCUCGAUACAGAAUUUGCAUGUGUUACAUGAAAACGCAAUAAACAAAAGUAUUUGCGAAAAAUAUCAGCAGUUUUAGCAAUUCUUGUUGUAUAGGCUAUUUAGAAUUUUAUAUAGAAAAAAGUAGGUUUCAAUACUAUCUGAUUUUGUAAAAUAGAAAAGCUAGUUUGAGCAAACAAGAGAGGAGUGUACAUGGGCCCUCAUUCAUGGUGCCGACUGCCGAGUAUGAAAUGAAGAAAUCAGGAUAGUAGUAUAUCCAA
Molecule: long non-coding RNA, 1608 nt
Organism: Sorghum bicolor (sorghum)
Lineage: Eukaryota; Viridiplantae; Streptophyta; Magnoliopsida; Poales; Poaceae
Exons: 4
Source: RefSeq, a predicted model, not a curated record